The sequence is a non-coding RNA, 218 nucleotides long. It matches the Rfam family "HNH endonuclease-associated RNA and ORF (HEARO) RNA". The record is from Rfam.
GUCAGGAACCUCAGCCUAAAUGCAUGAGGCUUGCCGGAGAAAUCCAGUAAGCCAUUCUGACCAGCCACAGUCUUAACUGACUACAUUUCGAGAGUCACGACACCCUUAGAUGCGUGCUAGUCUUCUGCUCUGUCGCUAACAAUUAAACAGUUUUACGGUCACUGAAACAGUGUUGUUAGCUUAACAAGCUCUUGAAAUAUUGGCGAAGCAAACAUUAC